UACAGAGGGGGCAAGCGUUAUUCGGAAUUAUUGGGCGUAAAGAGCUCGUAGGCGGUUUGUCACGUCUGCUGUGAAAUCCCGAGGCUCAACCUCGGGCCUGCAGUGGGUACGGGCAGACUGGAGUGCGGUAGGGGAGAAUGGAAUUCCUGGUGUAGCGGUGGAAUGCGCAGAUAUCAGGAGGAACACCGAUGGCGAAGGCAGUUCUCUGGGCCGUAACUGACGCUGAGGAGCGAAAGCGUGGGGAGCGAACAGG
RNAcentral lists this ribosomal RNA (253 nucleotides) under uncultured bacterium. RNAcentral describes it as "partial 16S ribosomal RNA". It matches the Rfam family "Bacterial small subunit ribosomal RNA", at positions 524 to 776 of the family's 1533-position model. The record is from RNAcentral.